CUGGCAGAGGAACUCGAUGUACAACCUGCAUCAGAUCCUGAACUGGUUCUAGCAUUGUCAGCGUCGAUAGUGCUUCCCAACAUGCCGUCUAUUGAAGGGGUGGCAAGUGAAGACGGAGCUGCCGUGGCACCAUCAAUAGCUCCAUCGAAUGAGGUUCGGGCCGAGGUGGAAACCAUGGUCGAACCUGAAUAGCCGACAGCUGCGCCAAUUGCUCCUUCAGCAGGAGUUGUUUCUUGGGUGCAAUCAAGUUCAAGUUUCUCCUCACUUUCGAAUGUGGGGCCACCGAUAGAAGACCGAAGAAAGACUCCGGUGACUUC
Molecule: long non-coding RNA, 317 nt
Filed under: Elaeis guineensis (African oil palm)
Lineage: Eukaryota; Viridiplantae; Streptophyta; Magnoliopsida; Arecales; Arecaceae
Description: long non-coding RNA (EGUI_LNC077477)
Source: RNAcentral